Molecule: ribosomal RNA, 429 nt
Filed under: Pseudomonadota bacterium
Lineage: Bacteria; Pseudomonadati; Pseudomonadota
Description: Proteobacteria bacterium partial 16S ribosomal RNA
Rfam family: Bacterial small subunit ribosomal RNA
Source: RNAcentral
UGGGGAAUAUUGGACAAUGGGCGAAAGCCUGAUCCAGCCAUGCCGCGUGUGUGAAGAAGGUCUUCGGAUUGUAAAGCACUUUAAGUUGGGAGGAAGGGCAGUAAGCGAAUACCUUGCUGUUUUGACGUUACCGACAGAAUAAGCACCGGCUAACUCUGUGCCAGCAGCCGCGGUAAUACAGAGGGUGCAAGCGUUAAGCGGAAUUACUGGGCGUAAAGCGCGCGUAGGUGGUUCGUUAAGUUGAAUGUGAAAGCCCCGGGCUCAACCGGGGAACUGCAUCCAAAACUGGCGGGCUAGAGUAGGGCAGAGGGUGGUGGAAUUUCCUGUGUAGCGGUGAAAUGUGUAGAUGUAGGAAGGAACACCAGUGGCGAAGGCGACCACCUGGGCUCAUACUGACACUGAGGUGCGAAAGCGUGGGGAGCAAACAGG